Molecule: long non-coding RNA, 433 nt
Organism: Juglans microcarpa x Juglans regia
Lineage: Eukaryota; Viridiplantae; Streptophyta; Magnoliopsida; Fagales; Juglandaceae
Exons: 2
Source: RefSeq, a predicted model, not a curated record
UUGAAGAAGCUAGUACAAAGUCGAUACAAUCACAAAGGUUUCAAUUUCUGAGCGAUCAACGAAGAAGAGAUGACCAAUAUAUAAGGAAAAACACCCGAGUUGACCAAACGGUGAUAGUCCAAAAAUUCGUGGACGUCCAUGGUAGAUACCACAAACAACUAUCGAAUGUACGUUCUGGUUUUCAGAGGUGGUUUUAGUAUUAGAAGGGGACUUGGAGAAGAAAUGGUGCACUGGUUCGUAAACGGGAAAGCAAGCUGAAGCUUCUUCAUGGUUCUCUUCCUGUGAGAGAGACAUGCUAAGACGUUCGGAGAGGAGACAGGCCAGCGGAGACGUAGGUGCACUGGUUUCAGGUUUGUACUGGGCGGGAAACCAAUCUAAAGCUUCUUCGUGAAGCGUGGUUCUCUUCCUUUCUUGAUCAAUUCUAAAUUUUUUU